Anneissia japonica is the source of this 2144-nucleotide long non-coding RNA. RefSeq lists it as uncharacterized. NCBI's taxonomy places the organism in Eukaryota, Metazoa, Echinodermata, Crinoidea, Comatulida, Comatulidae. The transcript has 2 exons. The record is from RefSeq and is a predicted model, not a curated record.
GUCAGUGUUGUCGGGGUAAAGAGAGGCGAAGUAUUAAGCGAAGAACAAGAAGUCAAUGUUGGUAGAGGAAUGUCAGGUGGAUCCAUAACUAAAAUAAUCAUUGUGUUAUUGCUGUCAUUCAUUUUGCCAUUGCUGUAAACUUUGUUUUUUGAGAAAAGCAGAAAGGAAGAAUAGAAUCGACAUCAAGUAACGAAAACAGUAGGCCUAGAGCUAGAAUGUUUCAUCACUAUAUUCUAUGUUUUUACAGUAAUUUGUUUUUAGAAAUAUGUAUUGGAAGUUCCAACCAUCCAGUUACUCUCAUAAUAGGCUUACUUUCUUAGCUAUUUCCAUUAAGACAGCUUUUUUUAUGAUAUUGUUUAAGUCACAAUGAAUAAUAGAUGAUUACAAGUUACUAUUAUGUGAUUACUAAUAUAGUUGGAAAAUACCUCAAAAAAUAAAUUCAUCUUUCAAUGAAAUCCAGAACAAAACCAAUAGGGUUUUUUUUUUCUGAGUGUUGCAUAUCUUGUAGGUGUAAAUCUAAAUAGAAAUUCAUAUAAGGGUUCCUUAUUCCUACCCGGUAACCCGGUGCAAUUCUCGUCGUCCACAACGGGGGCCGUUUGUACCAGUACACCGGGGUAUCCCCCUACCCGUCUCGAAUGAUGUACUGGGUUCUUUAUAGUGUACACGAGCCGAAGUGCACACUGGUAAUUAGUCGAAAUUUUUUUUGGCAGCACCAUGGAAUAUAUUAUUGAAAAUGUAAGUCAAUACCUAGAAUAAUUUAAAUUAUUUAGAUACUAAUUUUAAACGAACUACACAAAAUGCUUGAUACUAAAUGUACCGGCAUGUAAAUCAUUCAAAACCUACUUCAACUAUUACAUUAAAUACACCAAACUUUGUAGUGUGAUGAAGUUAUUAUCAUUUAUACCAAAAUCACCGUCAUUUUUUUUACUUUUCGAAUGGUACAUGCUACCUGCCCGUCGUCCAAUUUCCGACCAUUUUCAGAGGGUUGUUUGUUUUUAAAAGUUGCCAUUUCGGUUAUUUACCAAUCAAAACUCGUGUUGUCCCCUCUGGAAUAAGAAUGAUGAAUACAAUAAUUUCAUAGCUUCUUGAAUCGUAAAAGGUUUAUUCUGAUUGGAUAAAAAACAAUUCCACUGACACGGACAUUAUUAUUAUUAACAAUUUCCCAUCUUAUAAUUAAUUCUAUAUAGCCCGAGUGAGUUGCAUUUAGACCUAGGCUACUAUGGCUGACGACAUGUAUGCUUUCUCAAUUUAAGGUUUUUCUAUGAUCUGAUGGAAGCAUGAACUCCUGCAGACCAAAGUCAGUACUGUUCAAAUUUGAUGUGAAUCGUACGGCGAAUUUACUCACGAUUGUAAUAUUAGAUAUCUUUCAUCUUACCAUCCAUAUUGCAGGUUUUAUAACACCCAUUUUAUUUUCUCUCUGAUGAUAGUUCAUUCCCAUACAUUUAAUCACCUACACUUUAUUGAGGCUCAUUGGUUGCUUUCUGUAACUCUUUUGGUAAUUGUAAAGAUGUUGAUAAUGAUCUAAUUAAAGGUCUCGAAAUAUUGAAUCCUAAUGACGCAUCUUCAUUAUUUUAUUUUAAGUUUGUUUUAUACUAAGUUAAACUGUUCCAUAAUAACGGACGUUUGUAUGAAUAACAACAGCACAAAUGCCAAUGACAGGGCGCAUAAACAUGUCAAUAUAGCAUCACUGCUAGAGUAUAUUUGAUGUUAUAUCCAACAAAAAAAUAAAUACAUGCACUCUCAAAAAACUUUUCAACAUGGCAUUUAUUUGGAUAAAUACGGUGAAAGUCUAAAGCUUUUAUUGCAUAGCAAUUAUUUGGAUAAAUACGGUGAAAGUCUAAAACUUUUUUUUACAAGACAUUAUAUGUUUGUCAACAACACUGUGUUAUAAGGAUACCAUACUUCCAUGGUGAUGGUAAUCAAUUCUGAAAGUUUUGAUAGCCAUACUGAUAUAAAUGUCCUGGAUCCCCCCCUGACAAACAUACUAUUAUUAAACUGUAAAUCACACAUUAUAGAAAUGUUUUAAUGGUAAAUAUUUCUAACAAAUAAAUCUAAAAUACAUACACAUCUGAAUUUAAGAGACCUAAAAUCUUGCAAUUAUUUUUAAGCUUAAAUAAUCAAUGCAGUUAGUCCUUAUACCCUUU